This 1459-nucleotide ribosomal RNA is filed under the name uncultured Bordetella sp. Its description in RNAcentral is "partial 16S-23S ribosomal RNA intergenic spacer". It matches the Rfam family "Bacterial small subunit ribosomal RNA". Lineage: Bacteria; Pseudomonadati; Pseudomonadota; Betaproteobacteria; Burkholderiales; Alcaligenaceae. The record is from RNAcentral.
UUUGAUCCUGGCUCAGAUUGAACGCUGGCGGGAUGCUUUACACAUGCAAGUCGAACGGCAACACGGACUUCGGUCUGGUGGCGAGUGGCGAACAGGUGAGUAAUGUAUCCGGAACGUGCCUAGUAGCGGGGGAUAACUACGCGAAAGCGUAGCUAAUACCGCAUACGCCCUUCGGGGAAAGCGGGGGACCUUCGGGCCUCGCACUAUUAGAGCGGCCGAUAUCGGAUUAGCUGAUUGGUGGGGUAACGGCUCACCAAGGCGACGAUCCGUAGCUGGUUUGAAGGGACGACCAGCCACACUGGGACUGAGACACGGCCAGACUCCACGGGGCAGCAGUGGAAAUUUUGGACGAUAAAACCUGAUCCAGCCGCGUGUGCGAUGAAGGCUUCGGGUUGUAAAGCACUUUUGGCAGGAAAGAAACGGCACGGGAUAAUACCCCGUGCAACUGACGACACCUGCAGAAUAAGCACCGGCUAACUACGUGCCAGCAGCCGCGGUAAUACGUAAGUGCAAGCGUUAAUCGGAAUUACUGGGCGUAAAGCGUGCGCAGGCGCGGUUCCGGAAAGAAGAUGUGAAAUCCCAGAGCUUAACUUUGGAACUGCAUUUUUAGCUACCGAGCUAAGAGUGUGUCAGAGGAGGUGGAAUUCCGCGUGUAGCAGUGAAAUGCGUAGAUAUGCGGAGGAACACCGAUGGCGAAGGCGGCCUCCUGGGAUAACACUGACGCUCAUGCACGAAAGCGUGGGAGCAAACAGGAUUAGAUACCCUGGUAGUCCACGCCCUAAACGAUGUCAACUAGCUGUUGGGGCCUUCGGGCCUUGGUAGCGCAGCUAACGUGAAGUUGACCGCCUGGGGAGUACGGUCGCAAGAUUAAAACUCAAGGUUGACGGGGACCCGCACAAGCGGUGGAUGAUGUGGAUUAAUUCGAUGCAACGCGAAAAACCUUACCUACCCUUGACAUGUCUGGAAUCCCGAAAGAGAUUUGGGAGUGCUCGCAAGAGAACCGGAACACAGGUGCUGCAUGGCUGUCGUCAGCUCGUGUCAUUGAGAUGUUGGGUUAAGUCACGGCGAGCGCAACCCUUGUCAUUAGUUGCUACGAAAGGGCACUCUAAUGGGCACCAAAGUGACAAACCGGAGGAAGGUGGAUGACGUCAAGUCCUCCUUGGCCCUUAUGGGUAGGGCUUCACACGUCAUACAAUGGUCGGGACAGAGGGUCGCCAACCCGCGAGAGGCCAAUCCCAGAAACCCGAUCGUAGUCCGGAUCACAGUCUGCAACUCGACUGCGUGAAGUCGAGAAUCGCUAGUAAUCGCGGAUCAACAUGUCGCGGUGAAUACGUUCCCGGGUCUUGUACACACCGCCCGUCACACCAUGGGAGUGGGUUUUACCAGAAGUAGUUAGCCUAACCGUAAAGGGCGAUUACCACGGUAGGAUUCAUGACUGGGGUGAAGUCGUAACAAGGUA